UGGGGAAUAUUGGACAAUGGGCGCAAGCCUGAUCCAGCAAUGCCGCGUGAGUGAUGAAGGGCCUUAGGGUUGUAAAGCNCUUUCGCACGCGACGAUGAUGACGGUAGCGUGAGAAGAAGCCCCGGCUAACUUCGUGCCAGCAGCCGCGGUAAUACGAAGGGGGCUAGCGUUGUUCGGAAUUACUGGGCGUAAAGGGCGCGUAGGCGGCCUGUUCAGUCAGAAGUGAAAGCCCCGGGCUCAACCUGGGAAUAGCUUUUGAUACUGGCAGGCUUGAGUUCCGGAGAGGAUGGUGGAAUUCCCAGUGUAGAGGUGAAAUUCGUAGAUAUUGGGAGAACACCGGUGGCGAAGGCGGCCAUCUGGACGGACACUGACGCUGAGGCGCGAAAGCGUGGGG
RNAcentral lists this ribosomal RNA (394 nucleotides) under uncultured bacterium. RNAcentral's name for it is "partial 16S ribosomal RNA". It matches the Rfam family "Bacterial small subunit ribosomal RNA", at positions 355 to 766 of the family's 1533-position model. The record is from RNAcentral.